RNAcentral lists this microRNA precursor (62 nucleotides) under Strongyloides ratti. RNAcentral's name for it is "microRNA str-mir-8389 precursor". Lineage: Eukaryota; Metazoa; Nematoda; Chromadorea; Rhabditida; Strongyloididae. The record is from miRBase by way of RNAcentral.
AAUAUCUGAAUUGUUUACAAAACUAUAUGAUUAAAAAGUCAUGUAAACAUUUUAGAUAUACA